AACGAACGCUGGCGGCGCGCCUAAUACAUGCAAGUCGAGCGAGAAGACGUAGCAAUACGUUUGUAAAGCGGCGAACGGGUGAGGAAUACAUGGGUAACCUACCCUCGAGUGGGGAAUAACUAGCCGAAAGGUUAGCUAAUACCGCGUACGCUCCUUGGACUUCGGUUCAGGGAGGAAAGCGAUACCGUGGGUAUCGCGCUCUUGGAUGGGCUCAUGUCCUAUCAGCUUGUUGGUGAGGAACGGCUCACCAAGGCUUCGACGGGUAGCUGGACUGAGAGAACGAUCAGCCACACUGGCACUGCGACACGGGCCAGACUCCUACGGGAGGCAGCAGUAAGGAAUAUUGCGCAAUGGGCGAAAGCCUGACGCAGCGACGCCGCGUGGGGGAGUGAAGGUCUUCGG
Molecule: ribosomal RNA, 402 nt
Filed under: uncultured bacterium
Lineage: Bacteria
Description: bacterial SSU rRNA
Rfam family: Bacterial small subunit ribosomal RNA
Source: RNAcentral